GUAGAUUCCCUCAGUCAGCGGCGAGCGAAGAGGGACCGAACCCGAUGCCGAAUCGGACCUUAACGGUCUUGAGUUGUGGCACAAGCGGUGUUUCGUGGUUGGUGCGGGAUCAGCAAAAUUCAAUUCGGCAAAGCAAACCCAGCUGAAAACAACCCUUCAUGUGAGUAUUGAGCCAUAGAAGGUGGUAGCCCAUUGAGCUGAGAACCCUAGCGCCUCAUUAAACACUUCAAGAGAGUAGCACUGUUUGGGAAUGCAGUGUCAAGCGGCAGGUAUUUGUCUGCCAAGGUUAAACACAGAGUAGGAAGACCGAUAUCGAACAAGUAGCGUGAGCGAAAGUUUGAAAAGCACUUUGGAGAGAGAGUGACAUAGAACCUGAAGUCGCGACAAUGACAAUGGAAGUACCUCCAUUUCAUUGGCCAAAACCCACCUGACAGCAUUCGAUUUCGGGCGCUACUUUGGUGGCGUUCCGUAACAAGUGCCGAAAACCGGGUGUGGUGAAAUGAGCGAAGAGAAAGAGUUCAACACUGGUUUACCAGCGAGGGUUCUCUUCUUCGUGAUGCUCAAUGUUGGCAAACC
This 576-nucleotide ribosomal RNA is filed under the name Dictyuchus sp. 5 HM-2018. RNAcentral's name for it is "LSU rRNA". It matches the Rfam family "Eukaryotic large subunit ribosomal RNA", at positions 70 to 586 of the family's 3401-position model. Lineage: Eukaryota; Oomycota; Saprolegniomycetes; Saprolegniales; Achlyaceae. The record is from RNAcentral.